This 501-nucleotide ribosomal RNA is filed under the name uncultured bacterium. RNAcentral's name for it is "partial 16S ribosomal RNA". It matches the Rfam family "Bacterial small subunit ribosomal RNA", at positions 30 to 523 of the family's 1533-position model. The record is from RNAcentral.
AUUGAACGCUGGCGGCAGACUUAGCACAUGCAAGUCGAGCGGGGGAAGGCAGCUUGCUACCGGACCUAGCGGCGGACGGGUGAGUAAUGCUUAGGAAUCUGCCUAUUAGUUGGGGACAACAUCUCGCAAGGGAUGCUAAUACCGCAUACGUCCUACGGGAGAAAGCAUGGGAUCUGCGGACCCUGCGCUAAUAGAGGAGCCUAAGUCGGAUGAGCUAGUGGGUGGGGUAAAGGCCUACCAAGGCGACGAUCUGUAGCGGGUCUGAGAGGAUGAUCCGCCACACUGGGACUGAGACACGGCCCAGACUCCUACGGGAGGCAGCAGUGGGGAAUAUUGGAAAAUGGGGGGAACCCUGAUCCAGCCAUGCCGCGUGUGUGAAGAAGGCCUUAUGGUUGUAAAGCACUUUAAGCGAGGAGGAGGCUACUUUAGUUAAUACCUAGAGAUAGUGGACGUUACUCGCAGAAUAAGCACCGGCUAACUCUGUGCCAGCCGCCGCGGUAA